AAUACAGCGGGGUGUCUUUGAUGAUUGCUUCUUUGUUAGGAUUUUGAGGUUAUUCUAAGUGUGUGUUUUCUUUGGUUGUGUUACCUUUUGCAUCAUGAUUUAUUGAUGUUAAGCAGUUAUUUUGGUUGCCCGAAAAGUGAUGAUUUAGGUUUAAUCUGUUUAGAAUAAAAAGAUGUGCGGGUGGCAUUCUUUAGAGUUAGAUCUGGUUGUGAUAAAUAUAACGUAUUACUUGAUAUCUGGUUAGUAAAGUAGAUUUUGGUUUAUGCCUUUUGCUAUAAAGUGUGAGGUAAAUUAAGAGGUUAGUUUUCAUUUUAUAUUUUAAUUGUAGGUUAAAAGUACUUAGUUAUAAUUAGCGUGUUAUGACGUAUGAUUAAUUUUGUUUUUACCUUUAAUUUAUUAUUUACUAAUUUAAUUGUAUAAAAAUAGUAUGAUAGAAUAAGUAGUAUUAUUAGUUUACGUUUUUCUCGUCUUCCGCCGGACUGUUUAUUUAAAACAUUGCUAUUGUUUAAUUGUCGAUAGUAUAGCCUGCCCAGUGUCUUGUGUUGAUAAACGGCCGCAGUAUCUUGACUGUGCUAAGGUAGCAUAAUUAGUUGCCCUAUAAUUGAGGGAUUGUUUGAAUGGUAUUACUAGGUGGUUUGGUUUAGAUGUAAAUUUAUUUGUGAAAUUGGUUAGUUGGUGUAGAACCCAAUUUUUAUUAAUAAGACGGAAAGACCCCGAGAGCUUUAUGAUUAGUUGUUUGCUUGGGGUAAGAGCACAAGUUUAUGUGUUUUUUGAUCCUUUAUAAUGGAUUAUAGGUAAAGUUACCUUGGGGAUAACUAGGUGAGAAAUAAGGAGAGUUCUUAUCGAUUUAUUUGUUUGCUAUCUCGAUGUUGACUUAGGGUAUUGUGCGUAUGGUGCAGGAGCUUACGUAUUGGGUCUGUUCGACCUAUAAAUUAAUCCCUUCAUGAGUUGAGUUAAGACCGGUGUGAGCCAGGUCGGUUCUUAUCUAUUGUUCGUUUGGCUUAGUACGAAAGGAUUAGCUGAGAUUUUGGUUUGGCGGGACAUUAAAUGGUUCACUCUGCAAAGGUGAAAUUUGGAUAUUACUAUAUCCC
This 1091-nucleotide ribosomal RNA is filed under the name Haematoloechus sp. CW13H. RNAcentral describes it as "16S ribosomal RNA". The stretch from base 697 to 990 matches the Rfam family "Bacterial large subunit ribosomal RNA", at positions 2074 to 2646 of the family's 2925-position model. Lineage: Eukaryota; Metazoa; Platyhelminthes; Trematoda; Plagiorchiida; Haematoloechidae. The record is from RNAcentral.